This 255-nucleotide ribosomal RNA is filed under the name uncultured bacterium. Its description in RNAcentral is "partial 16S ribosomal RNA". It matches the Rfam family "Bacterial small subunit ribosomal RNA", at positions 109 to 364 of the family's 1533-position model. The record is from RNAcentral.
AGUAACGCGUGAGAAACCUGCCUUUCAGUGGGGGACAACAGUUGGAAACGACUGCUAAUACCGCAUAAUGUCAUUUGGGGGCAUCCCUGAAUGACCAAAGAUUUAUUGCUGAAAGAUGGUCUCGCGUCUGAUUAGCUAGAUGGCGGGGUAACGGCCCACCAUGGCGACGAUCAGUAGCCGGUCUGAGAGGAGGAACGGCCACAUUGGGGCUGAGAUACGGCCCAGACUCCUACGGGAGGCAGCAGUGGGGAAUAU